This 253-nucleotide non-coding RNA is filed under the name uncultured bacterium. Its description in RNAcentral is "partial 16S ribosomal RNA". It matches the Rfam family "Bacterial small subunit ribosomal RNA", at positions 524 to 776 of the family's 1533-position model. The record is from RNAcentral. RNAcentral also lists the same sequence under 2 other names.
UACGUAGGGCGCAAGCGUUAUCCGGAAUUAUUGGGCGUAAAGAGCUCGUAGGCGGUUUGUCGCGUCUGCUGUGAAAUCCCGAGGCUCAACCUCGGGCCUGCAGUGGGUACGGGCAGACUAGAGUGCGGUAGGGGAGAUUGGAAUUCCUGGUGUAGCGGUGGAAUGCGCAGAUAUCAGGAGGAACACCGAUGGCGAAGGCAGAUCUCUGGGCCGUAACUGACGCUGAGGAGCGAAAGGGUGGGGAGCAAACAGG